UGGAGAGUGACGUGGUGACGCAGCAGCAGGUUUCCGCGGGGUUGCCUCCAGAAUGGCUGUGAUAGCUGGGGAAGCGUUGCCGGAGCCGUGGCGAGGGGAUGCGCUGCUGCUGCUGAUGACGAUGCUCCUCCUGCUUCUCUCUCCCUCUCUUUCUGUCGUUCUUUCUUUCUCUCCUCCUCAGCGCCUGCGCCUGCGCCUGGGCCUGCGUUGUUGCAGUUGUAGUUGGAUGAUUGGGUUGCGUUGCGUUUGUGUUGGUGUGAUGUGCUCCCUGGUUCCCUCCCGCGUGUGGCAGGAGUAAUGUUGCGAGGGCAAAAAUAGAAGACGGGGUUGGGGUUGGUGGUGGCGCCCCCGCUGGUCCCAGUGUGGCGAGGGAAUGCCGGAAUGGCGGAAGAUUUUGGUCCUUUUUUUUAUCUUCUGACGAGUGAGUGCUCUUUGGCUUCGUUGCCUUGGCCCUCUCUCGCUCUCUCUCGCCCGCUUUUCUUUUCUUGUUCUCUUCUUCGUGCUCCACCGUCGUCUGCACUGGGGACCCUCAUCCGUGGAGGAGGAGGAUUGGCUGGUUGGGUGCGGGCUUGGGGAUGGCACUCCCUGGACUCUCACUCAGUCACGUGUCCUCUUGUGGAUGAAUGGAUUUAUGGAUGGAUGAAAUAUCUGCCUGGCCCUUCCUCCCAGACCCGGUUGUGUGUGUGUGUGUGUGUUUGUUUAUUGAUGGGCUGUGUCUGUGCCAUGCUGCAUUUGCUUGCUUCGUGAUCAUUCAUUCAUUCCUUCUCCUUAGCCUUUGGCGUUGGUCCCUGGUUCCCUCCAAUGACCGUGCGUCGUGUCCUCCUGCAAUGAGUCGAGAUCAUAAGUUUGAAUGGUCUCUUUGCUUUGCAACCUUUAUCCUUACACUUCACCAUCGGCGAUGGAUGAUGUGGGCAGGCAAGGAGGGAGGGAGGGAGACCCAGGUGUGCGUUUGUUAGCAUUCCGAGAUGACCUAAAGAGACGUCAGGUAGACAGCGAGAGUGUGUUAUUCCACCUUGGAAUGAUGGAUGGAUUGUUGGAUGGAUGAAUUUGUGAAUUAGCGGAGGAAUGCAUAUUGUUUCGUUCAUCAUGGGAACUGCUCUGCCCUGUCUUAGUUUUAUGCUUGCAACUCACUCUGGCAUUUAAAUCCAUUGUAUUUUACAUAUUGGUUUAUAAAUUAUUGAUGGUGGUUUGAAGAACUUUAUUUACAUUUAUACAUGUAUUUGUUUUGUUAUAGGUAUCAUGAUUCAAAAUUGGUAACUUGUUUUUGUUAGUAUUGUUUUUUCAUAAACAUGUUGAUUUUAUAUUUGCUGUUGUCGUUAUCAUUUUCCGUUUUAAUAUGUACUUUUUUCUGUUUACUUUCUCUUUUCUUUUCUUUUCUUUUCUUUUUUUUCUUUUUGUGUGUGUAGUUUUAGACAGGUACAUACACUCAUAGUCACAGUCAUAGUCAUGUAUGCUUACAUUUAUACAUCACUAGUAUACAUUUUUUCUAAUUUUAUCGUGGAAUGAAUGUUUAUUUUUUGAUUUGAUAAUGUAUAUUUUAAUGUAUGUACCUGUUACUGGAAUUAAAAUAUUUAGGAAUAUAUUUAUUUAUAUUGCCGCGCAACGUUAGAUUCUUAUUU
RNAcentral lists this long non-coding RNA (1619 nucleotides) under Physcomitrium patens. RNAcentral describes it as "long non-coding RNA (PPAT_LNC011622)". The record is from RNAcentral. Lineage: Eukaryota; Viridiplantae; Streptophyta; Bryopsida; Funariales; Funariaceae.